AACGAACGCUGGCGGCAGGCUUAACACAUGCAAGUCGAACGGGUGUAGCAAUACAUCAGUGGCAGACGGGUGAGUAACACGUGGGAACCUUCCUAGGGGUACGGAACAACUCAGGGAAACUUGAGCUAAUACCGUAUACGUCCGUGAGGAGAAAGAUUUAUCGCCCUUAGACGGGCCCGCGUCGGAUUAGCUAGUUGGUGGGUAACGGCCUACCAAGGCGACGAUCCGUAGCUGAUCUUAGAGGAUGAUCAGCCACACUGGGACUGAGACACGGCCCAGACUCCUACGGGAGGCAGCAGUGGGGAAUCUUGGACAAUGGGCGCAAGCCUGAUCCAGCCAUGCCGCGUGAGUGAAGAAGGUCUUCGGAUUGUAAAGCUCUUUGCCAGGGACGAUAAUGACGGUACCUGGAGAAUAAGCCCCGGCAAACUUCGUGCCAGCAGCCGCGGUAAU
Molecule: ribosomal RNA, 450 nt
Filed under: uncultured bacterium
Lineage: Bacteria
Description: bacterial SSU rRNA
Rfam family: Bacterial small subunit ribosomal RNA
Source: RNAcentral